Molecule: long non-coding RNA, 699 nt
Organism: Zootoca vivipara (common lizard)
Lineage: Eukaryota; Metazoa; Chordata; Lepidosauria; Squamata; Lacertidae
Source: RefSeq, a predicted model, not a curated record
AAGGAACUGAAACAAGUUCAGAGCAACAGAGAAGAGGGUGUCUGCUAUGGCAACAGAAGGCAAACAAGGCUACAAAUGAAUGAAAAGGGUUUGCUGGCUUUGGUGGGAAAGUGCAUGGAACUCGCCCUUGAGCAAAAUGAUAGGGCAGAGGGAUGUUGGGAUCUAGUGGCACCCACGGAACUGAGAGGCCAGAAGGCAUGCUGGGCAGGGCAGAGUGAGCUGAAUGCAAGUUGUACAUUGCUCUGGUGGCUUUUCCGUCGCAGCUCUUAUAGAUGGUAACGGAAGAGUCUCCUGCUGCGUGAGCCAAUAGGCAGUUGCUCAAGCAGAAACAACUUUGAAGUCAAGGCAUCAACAUGACCUGAAGAAAAGAAAAAACACCAAACAGUUUUGCAAUGAAAAAUGAGGAACUGCACAACAAAGGAAAUUCUCAAGUAGUGGAGGAGAGACCAGCAUUUAGAUUAAAAUAUCAUGACACAAUCACAACGUCAAUAAAACAAAACUAAGAACUAUAAACGGAGACCAGGUAAAACAAACCCCAAAAUCCUGAUGGUUACCAUACUAUUGUACUUACCCAGGAGUGAGUUCUACUGAACCCCCUAAAACUGCCAUCUGUCUAGUCUCAGGCUACUCCAAACAGCAGCCAGCGAAACACCAUUGGUCACCACUGGGCCACAUAUAGGCAGGGGCGUAGAGAGGUGC